Molecule: transfer RNA, 74 nt
Filed under: Moramonas marocensis
Lineage: Eukaryota; Jakobea; Jakobida; Moramonadidae
Description: tRNA-Met
Rfam family: tRNA
About the family: Transfer RNA (tRNA) molecules are approximately 80 nucleotides in length. Their secondary structure includes four short double-helical elements and three loops (D, anti-codon, and T loops).
Source: RNAcentral
CGUGGGGUAGAGCAGCAUGGCAGCUCGUCAGGCUCAUAAUCUGAAGGACGUAGGUUCAAAUCCUACCCCCACAU